CCCAGGUGUGCCUGUGACCUUGUUUCCGAGGGACCUAAAAAGCUUCGCUUCAUAUUGACAUCCUCCCAGUGACAGAGGAGUACAGGAAAUGAUGCAGGUGCAAGGUGCUUACAGUCCAGAGGAAAGGGUGUGAAGCAAGAAUGAGAAAGCCUGAGGGAACCAUGCAGAUAUCCUAGCCAGAGCCUUCAGACCAAGACAAUCGAACAUCCCUGGAUAUCUGAGAUAGCCAGCCUUUCUUCUGGAGAGCUUCCCAGGUAACCAGCAUCCGAAACCCCAGCUGCUGUCUCCAUGGUGAUCAGGAUACCCCCUGUGAUGAAGUCUUGCUCUGUCGCCCAGACUAGAUUGCAGUGAUGUG
RNAcentral lists this long non-coding RNA (355 nucleotides) under Homo sapiens (human). RNAcentral's name for it is "HSALNT0358194". The record is from RNAcentral. Lineage: Eukaryota; Metazoa; Chordata; Mammalia; Primates; Hominidae.